UAACGCGAAGAACCUUACCUGGGCUUGACAUCGUCGGCGAUGCCGUAUGAAAGUAUGGCGGAGGUUAUCCGAUAGACAGGUGCUGCAUGGCUGUCGUCAGUUCGUGCCGUGAGGUGUCGGCUUAAGUGCCAUAACGAGCGCAACCCCUGCCCCGUGUUGCCAGCAGGUAAAGCUGGGGACUCGCGGGGGACUGCCGCGGAGAACGCGGAGGAAGGCGGGGAUGACGUCAAGUCAUCAUGCCCCUUAUGUCCUGGGCUACACACGUACUACAAUGGGAUGGACAGAGGGAAGCGAAGGAGCGAUCCGGAGCGGACCCCAGAAAGCAUCCCCCAGUUCGGAUUGCAGGCUGCAACCCGCCUGCAUGAAGUCGGAAUCGCUAGUAAUCGCAGGUCAGCAUACUGCGGUGAAUACGUUCCCGGGUCUUGUACACACCGA
This 435-nucleotide ribosomal RNA is filed under the name uncultured rumen bacterium. RNAcentral's name for it is "bacterial SSU rRNA". It matches the Rfam family "Bacterial small subunit ribosomal RNA", at positions 957 to 1393 of the family's 1533-position model. The record is from RNAcentral.